RNAcentral lists this ribosomal RNA (267 nucleotides) under uncultured bacterium. RNAcentral's name for it is "partial 16S ribosomal RNA". It matches the Rfam family "Bacterial small subunit ribosomal RNA", at positions 525 to 796 of the family's 1533-position model. The record is from RNAcentral.
ACGGAGGGUGCAAGCGUUAAUCGGAAUUACUGGGCGUAAAGCGCGCGUAGGUGGUUUGAUAAGCGAGAUGUGAAAGCCCCGGGCUUAACCUGGGAACGGCAUUUCGAACUGUCAGGCUAGAGUAUGGUAGAGGUAGUGGAAUUUCCUGUGUAGCGGUGAAAUGCGUAGAUAUAGGAGGAACACCAGUGGCGAAGGCGGCACUCUGGACCAAUACUGACACUGAGGUGCGAAAGCGUGGGGAGCAAACAGGAUGAUACCCCGUAGUCC